AGUGAACGCUGGCGGUAGGCCUAACACAUGCAAGUCGAACGGCAGCACAGUAAGAGCUUGCUCUUACGGGUGGCGAGUGGCGGACGGGUGAGGAAUACAUCGGAAUCUACUUUUUCGUGGGGGAUAACGUAGGGAAACUUACGCUAAUACCGCAUACGACCUACGGGUGAAAGCAGGGGAUCUUCGGACCUUGCGCGAUUGAAUGAGCCGAUGUCGGAUUAGCUAGUUGGCGGGGUAAAGGCCCACCAAGGCGACGAUCCGUAGCUGGUCUGAGAGGAUGAUCAGCCACACUGGAGCUGAGACACGGUCCAGACUCCUACGGGAGGCAGCAGUGGGGAAUAUUGGACAAUGGGCGCAAGCCUGAUACAGCCAUACCGCGUGGGUGAAGAAGGCCUUCGGGUUGUAAAGCCCUUUUGUUGGGAAAGAAAAGCAGCAGGUUAAUACCCCGCUGUUCUGACGGUACCCAAAGAAUAAGCACCGGCUAACUUCGUG
Molecule: ribosomal RNA, 492 nt
Filed under: uncultured bacterium
Lineage: Bacteria
Description: partial 16S ribosomal RNA
Rfam family: Bacterial small subunit ribosomal RNA
Source: RNAcentral